ACUCCUACGGGAGGCAGCAGUGGGGAAUAUUGCACAAUGGGCGCAAGCCUGAUGCAGCGACGCCGCGUGGGGGAUGACGGCCUUCGGGUUGUAAACUCCUUUCGUCAGGGACGAAGCGAAAGUGACGGUACCUGGAUAAGAAGCACCGGCUAACUACGUGCCAGCAGCCGCGGUAAUACGUAGGGUGCGAGCGUUGUCCGGAAUUACUGGGCGUAAAGAGCUCGUAGGUGGUUUGUCGCGUCGUUUGUGUAAGUCCACGGCUUAACUGUGGGAUGGCAGGCGAUACGGGCAUAACUUGAGUGCUGUAGGGGAGACUGGAAUUCCUGGUGUAGCGGUGAAAUGCGCAGAUAUCAGGAGGAACACCGAUGGCGAAGGCAGGUCUCUGGGCAGUAACUGACGCUGAGGAGCGAAAGCAUGGGUAGCGAACAGGAUUAGAUACCCUGGUAGUCCAUGCCGUAAACGGUGGGCGCUAGGUGUGAGUCCCUUCCACGGGGUUCGUGCCGUAGCUAACGCAUUAAGC
This 520-nucleotide ribosomal RNA is filed under the name bacterium btn 16a-3. Its description in RNAcentral is "bacterial SSU rRNA". It matches the Rfam family "Bacterial small subunit ribosomal RNA", at positions 335 to 865 of the family's 1533-position model. The record is from RNAcentral.